UACGUAGGGGGCAAGCGUUGUCCGGAUUUACUGGGCGUAAAGGGCGCGUAGGCGGCGCAACAAGUCACUUGUGAAAUCUCCGGGCUUAACCCGGAGCGGCCAAGUGAUACUGUCGUGCUAGAGUGCGGAAGGGGCUACUGGAAUUCUCGGUGUAGCGGUGAAAUGCUUAGAUAUCGGGAGGAACACCAGUGGCGAAGGCGGUGCUCUGGGCCGGAACUGACGCUGAGGAGCGAAAGCGUGGGUAGCAAACAGG
Molecule: ribosomal RNA, 253 nt
Filed under: uncultured bacterium
Lineage: Bacteria
Description: partial 16S ribosomal RNA
Rfam family: Bacterial small subunit ribosomal RNA
Source: RNAcentral